CAGCAGCCUCAUCAUACUAAGACUCAUCCAUACAGAAGACAAAGGAGACCUGGGUUAACAUUGUCAGGGGGGCCUGUGGAACUGCCAGCCAGCUUCCCUGCAAGACUGAGUUCAUCUCAGGCUAUACCUCCUUGCGAUCCCUGGACUUCCUUGCUCACACUGAGACGUGGAUCACACCAGACACCACUUCCACCCCUACAGCCCUCUCCUCAGCCUACUCCUUCACCCACACACCCAGACCCACCGGCAUUCUUUCGAAUUUCUCUGUGUCUGUUACAUAUCCGAUGAAAUUAAACACCUAGACUACUGCAAUUCACUCCUGGCUAGUGUGCUUACAUGGAACUCAUGAGAUGCUUUAUAAAUACAGGCUCUGAACUCAACAUUCAAAGAUGCCGUCAAGUAGAUGGUCAGCCAGGAGAGUGAAAUAUCUGCCCCUCAUUCAUGCAAUCGACAUUGCGAGCACCGCGCCAAGGCAAGUGGAAACAAACACUGCAAAUGAGUCAGUCACAUGGUGGAUCCUUGAAAGGUUUCAGAAAUGAAUGUGUCAGUCAGAGACACCAACAGGAAGGAAUUCGCCAUUUAUAGCAAUUGGUUGCAGCAACAAGGAUUCUGUUGGAAGAACUAUUCCCCCUUAAACACAUAUAUGAACAUUAGAUCAAUUAACAAUAUCAAAACCUUAGCACAUAAAGAAGAGGGUGGGGUGGUGGAGGGGUCAGCGGCAGCAAAUGCAUUGACAUGACCAUAUCAGUAGAGAUGUCAUCGCUGACAUGUAGAGGACAUCAGCAUACUUGUGUUUCAAUUAAUAAGGCCUUGCUAUUUGAGUUGCAGAGUUCUUCAUGCCCAUUCUGAACUGGGGGAAACUGUACCAUGUACCUUAGUACUAUAUGAUGAUUAUGAUGUAAUAUAUGUCUGUAGUAUUUUUUUGUUGUUGUUGUUGUUUGGUUAAAUGUUAUGUUUAUUUAUGUAUAUGAAACAGUGUACUUCUUGCAAGCCGGAUUUCAGAAAGAUAUUCUGAUACUAAAGUGAAAUCAAAUCAAAUUAAAUAAUG
Molecule: long non-coding RNA, 1048 nt
Organism: Siniperca chuatsi (mandarin fish)
Lineage: Eukaryota; Metazoa; Chordata; Actinopteri; Centrarchiformes; Sinipercidae
Exons: 4
Source: RefSeq, a predicted model, not a curated record